GCCACUCAGACGUAUCAAGAUGAUCUCGCAGGCUCAGCUUAUCUGGCUGUUAGUGCUCUGGAUCCAGGGCUCCAGUGGGCAGAUUGUGAUGACUCAGACUCCAGAAUCCCUGGCAGUGUUGCCAGGAGACAGAGUCACUAUCAACUGCAAAGCCAGUUCCAGCAUCACCGGUGGUAGCACUCACUACUUAAACUGGUACCAACAGAAAUCAGGACAAGCUCCGAAGCUAUUUAUCUACUAUGCUUCCACCCGUGCCACUGGGAUCCCAGACCGGUUCACAGGCAGUGGAUCUGGAACUGAUUUCACUCUCACAAUCAGCAACGUUAAAGCUGAAGAUGCUGGAGAUUAUUAUUGCCAGCAAGGCUAUAGCUCACCUCUCACAGUGAUACAGACCAAUACAAAAACCACCCUG
Molecule: non-coding RNA, 412 nt
Organism: Gopherus flavomarginatus (Mexican gopher tortoise)
Lineage: Eukaryota; Metazoa; Chordata; Testudines; Testudinidae
Source: the annotation of a RefSeq genome assembly